Molecule: non-coding RNA, 469 nt
Organism: Paramuricea clavata
Lineage: Eukaryota; Metazoa; Cnidaria; Anthozoa; Malacalcyonacea; Plexauridae
Source: the annotation of a GenBank genome assembly
GUUCUAUAAUUCAUUAAUUUUGUUCCAGCAACUAGCCACACCUCGUUCAGACGAGUGGAGCCGUUUCCAACGUACUUUAUAUGAUUUGGAAAGCAGCCAAAGCAGUAAUCAAACAGUGGAUGUAGCACCACCACUUGCAAGACAUAUUUCUCCUUUGAAAGUUGCUCAUUGAUCUGUGCUUCAAAAACGAACUGUAGGUAAUUAUUAUAUUAUAUAGGAAUAUUUUUUUGUAAUGUAGAAUUGCAUUCGACGGAUGUUGGUGGGUAUGAAAGUAAAGCCUGGUUUACACUAUCAAAGUUUCUGUGAUCACUGUAGGAAUUUUGCAGAGGUAAAUUCUACGUUUUGGAGGAUUUGUAAGAAAUGUUUGAGGGAACUGACUCGGUGUUAAACACUCAAUCAGUUCCCUCAAACAUUUCUUACAAAUCCUUCAAAACUUAGAAUUUACUUAUAUGCAAAAUUCCUACUGUGA